GUUGGGUAGGGGAGCGUUCUGUAAGCCUGUGAAGGUGUGUCGUGAGGCAUGCUGGAGGUAUCAGAAGUGCGAAUGCUGACAUAAGUAACGAUAAAGCGGGUGAAAAGCCCGCUCGCCGGAAGACCAAGGGUUCCUGUCCAACGUUAAUCGGGGCAGGGUGAGUCGACCCCUAAGGCGAGGCCGAAAGGCGUAGUCGAUGGGAAACGGGUUAAUAUUCCCGUACUUGGUGUUACUGCGAAGGGGGGACGGAGAAGGCUAUGUUGGCCGGGCGACGGUUGUCCCGGUUUAAGCGUGUAGGUGUGUGUUCCAGGUAAAUCCGGUUCACUUUAACACUGAGGCGUGACGACGAGGCACUACGGUGCUGAAGCAACAAAUGCCCUGCUUCCAGGAAAAGCCUCUAAGCAUCAGGUAACAUCAAAUCGUACCCCAAACCGACACAGGUGGUCAGGUAGAGAAUACCAAGGCGCUUGAGAGAACUCGGGUGAAGGAACUAGGCAAAAUGGUGCCGUAACUUCGGGAGAAGGCACGCUGACACGUAGGUGAAGUGAUUUACUCAUGGAGCUGAAGUCAGUCGAAGAUACCAGCUGGCUGCAACUGUUUAUUAAAAACACAGCACUGUGCAAACACGAAAGUGGACGUAUACGGUGUGACGCCUGCCCGGUGCCGGAAGGUUAAUUGAUGGGGUCAGCGCAAGCGAAGCUCCUGAUCGAAGCCCCGGUAAACGGCGGCCGUAACUAUAACGGUCCUAAGGUAGCGAAAUUCCUUGUCGGGUAAGUUCCGACCUGCACGAAUGGCGUAAUGAUGGCCAGGCUGUCUCCACCCGAGACUCAGUGAAAUUGAACUCGCUGUGAAGAUGCAGUGUACCCGCGGCAAGACGGAAAGACCCCGUGAACCUUUACUAUAGCUUGACACUGAACAUUGAGCCUUGAUGUGUAGGAUAGGUGGGAGGCUUUGAAGCGUGGACGCCAGUCUGCGUGGAGCCGACCUUGAAAUACCACCCUUUAAUGUUUGAUGUUCUAACGUGGACCCGUGAUCCGGGUUGCGGACAGUGU
RNAcentral lists this ribosomal RNA (1052 nucleotides) under Salmonella enterica subsp. enterica. RNAcentral describes it as "bacterial LSU rRNA". It matches the Rfam family "Bacterial large subunit ribosomal RNA", at positions 1223 to 2257 of the family's 2925-position model. The record is from RNAcentral. Lineage: Bacteria; Pseudomonadati; Pseudomonadota; Gammaproteobacteria; Enterobacterales; Enterobacteriaceae.